CACAUAUGUAAGAUAUCAGCAAGGUCACAGGGCUUGUGGCUCAUUCAAGGUGCUGCAGGGGCUCUGUCUGCUCUGACCUGGGCAGCCUUCCUGGCAAAAUGACACCACUUCUACUCCUGCUGGCCUUUCUGCUGCCUUUGAGGAUGGAAAAGGUGAGUGGCCAUCCUUAUUCCAGAGGUCUGAGCUCAUCCCACAAAAUCUUCUCCACUACUGACUUUUUGUUAGCUUUGGUCUGGAACCUUCACCUUGCUUUCACCCAGGAGUUUUCUAACCACAGAUCCAAUUCAAACCCAGACUUACAAUUCCAAAGCUGGCUGGACACAUUCCAGGGUUUCAAAAGAGGGUGUUCUCAAAUGAUUUAGUAUGUGUUAGCCUCUCCACAGAAUUUCCUGCAUUAUCCAGAAAUGAGUUGUCCUCAGAAAAACAUUUAAAAAACAAAAAUCAAGAACACAUAAAGCAGUGAAUGUGAAGCAACAAAAGUAAGUAAUUAAACUAUGUUACUCAAAACCAGAACAAGGCAGCUUAGAUCAACAGCUCAUGGGAGGUGGGUUUCACAGACCCAGUUGCACUAUCCAGUGACUACCACCCAGUCCCAGCUCUGAAGAGAAUCUAAGGGUUCAGCUAGACUCAGAGGUGGUAUGAUGAUUGCAUCCACUUUUCCAUUACCCUGGCUCCACCUUAGGUCUUUGCAGCUUCACUCUAAUGAUCUUUCCUACAUCUGCCUUGCUGGCUUUCCAUGUGGCCCCUGCCUUGGGUACUAUUCCCUCCUCCUAAAGUUUUAUUGCCCUCUAUGCCACCACACUACACUGGCCCAUCAAGCACUGAGGAACUUUGAUUAGACAUCAGAUAUACAGCCUAAAACAAUUCUUGAGAACACAAAAUAUUUUAGGCCUAGAUCAUCAUUUGAACGUGGGUUCAUAAUUCUAUAGGUAGAUUGUUAGAAAGUGCCACCAAUCCAGAAAAUAACAAAAGUUUAAACAGAUUUGUAAGUUUCAGUAAGAAAACAACAAUGAAGUCAGCUGCCCAGUGUCCUAUGAAACUCAACCAUCAGUCAUCCCACUUCCACGCAUUUGUUCCAGGUAGGAAGGAGAAGGCCAGAACUAUCCUGACUUUCUCAGAACAUUUGAGAUUUAGAAAAAGUCUGGCUUUGAUCAUGCAGCCUGCAGAAAUAAGAUAAGUACCCCCUGCAGGGUACAGAGCACUCCAGGUCUCACCAUCACCCCUCAUUUCCCCAAGUCUUCUUUCGUGACCACACUGCUCCCAGCCACCCCAUCUUAAGCUUUUCUUUCAGAGGAGGUCAUCGGGGGUCAGGAGGGUAAGCCCCAUUCCCAUCCCUAUACGGCCUUUGUCCAGUUCCUGGAUGGAGAGAAGAUGAAGAGGUGUGGUGGUGUCUUGGUGCAAAAGAGAUUUGUACUGACAGCUGCAUACUGCAAGCUCAAUAAGUGUCAUCCUGGUGGCCCACAAUAUCCAGAAGCAAGAGAAGACCCAGCAGGAGGACUCUGGGCUUCCCCUUGUGUGUAAUCACAUGAUCCAAGUCAUUUUCUGCCAUGCAAAAAAUGAUGGCAAUCUCCCAGGAGUCUUCAUGAAGGUCUCCCACUUUCUGCUUUGGAUAAAGAAGACCAUGGAGCAGUUCUAACAGCAGGCACAAGAUUGGCCUCCUCUGUGCCUCAUCAUCCUUACUGAGCCAUUAGAAAGACUGCCAUGAGCCCAGGCCACUGCACAGUGACAAUAAAUGGAUCUGAAGAAUGACUGUCCCUGAAGUCCUAUUUAUUCCCUGAACCCCAAUUAGCAUGAAGCUGCACUUCUGGCCAUU
Long non-coding RNA from Cavia porcellus (domestic guinea pig), 1813 nucleotides. RefSeq lists it as uncharacterized. The record is from RefSeq and is a predicted model, not a curated record. The transcript has 3 exons. NCBI's taxonomy places the organism in Eukaryota, Metazoa, Chordata, Mammalia, Rodentia, Caviidae.